UACGUAGGGGGCAAGCGUUGUCCGGAAUCAUUGGGCGUAAAGAGCGCGUAGGCGGCCCAGUAAGUCCGCUCUGAAAGUCAGGGGCUCAACCCCUGAAUGCGGGUGGAUACUGCUGGGCUAGAGUCCGGAAGAGGCGAGUGGAAUUCCUGGUGUAGCGGUGAAAUGCGUAGAUAUCUGGAGGAACACCGGUGGCGAAGGCGGCAUCCUGGACCGACACUGACGCUGAGGAGCGAAAGCCAGGGGAGCAAACGGG
This 253-nucleotide ribosomal RNA is filed under the name uncultured bacterium. Its description in RNAcentral is "partial 16S ribosomal RNA". It matches the Rfam family "Bacterial small subunit ribosomal RNA", at positions 524 to 776 of the family's 1533-position model. The record is from RNAcentral.